UGUAAAAUUUUAAGGGUCGAACAGACCCAAUAUUUUAGCUUCUACACCAAAAAUUUAUUUUAAUCCAACAUCGAGGUCGCAAUCUUUUCUUUUAAUAUGAACUCUCUAAAAAAAUUACGCUGUUAUCCCUAAGGUAAUUUUAUCUUAUAAUCAAAACUAUUGGRUCAUUUAAUCAUAAAUUAAUGAUUUAAAAUAAAAAAAGUUAAUUAAAUUUUUUAAUCACCCCAAUUAAAUUAUUAAAUAAAUCAAAUAAAUUAAUACUAAAAUAUAAUUUUUAUUUAAUAAUUAAACUCUAUAGGGUCUUCUCGUCUUUUAAAAACAAUUAAGCUUUUUAACUUAAAAAUAAAAUUCUAAUUAAAUUAAAUAGAGACAGCUAUUUUCUUAUCCGACCUUUCAUUCCAGUUUUUAAUUAGAAAACUAAUGAUUAUGCUACCUUAGCACGGUCAAAAUACCACGGCCAUUUAAAAUCUCAGUGGGCAGGUCAAACCUUAAAUUAUUACCAAAAGGAC
Molecule: ribosomal RNA, 509 nt
Filed under: Chrysolina peregrina
Lineage: Eukaryota; Metazoa; Arthropoda; Insecta; Coleoptera; Chrysomelidae
Description: 16S ribosomal RNA
Source: RNAcentral